GACGAACGCUGGCGGCGUGCCUAAUACAUGCAAGUAGAACGCUGAAGGAGGAGCUUGCUUCUCUGGAUGAGUUGCGAACGGGUGAGUAACGCGUAGGUAACCUGCCUGGUAGCGGGGGAUAACUAUUGGAAACGAUAGCUAAUACCGCAUAAUAGUAGAUGUUGCAUGACAUUUGCUUAAAAGGUGCAAUUGCAUCACUACCGGAUGGACCUGCGUUGUAUUAGCUAGUUGGUGGGGUAACGGCUCACCAAGGCGACGAUACAUAGCCGACCUGAGAGGGUGAUCGGCCACACUGGGACUGAGACACGGCCCAGACUCCUACGGGAGGCAGCAGUAGGGAAUCUUCGGCAAUGGACGGAAGUCUGACCGAGCAACGCCGCGUGAGUGAAGAAGGUUUUCGGAUCGUAGAGCUCUGUUGUAAGAGAAGAACGAGUGUGAGAGUGGAAAGUUCACACUGUGACGGUAUCUUACCAGAAAGGGACGGCUAACUACGUG
RNAcentral lists this ribosomal RNA (495 nucleotides) under uncultured bacterium. Its description in RNAcentral is "partial 16S ribosomal RNA". It matches the Rfam family "Bacterial small subunit ribosomal RNA", at positions 28 to 507 of the family's 1533-position model. The record is from RNAcentral.